This 446-nucleotide ribosomal RNA is filed under the name uncultured bacterium. Its description in RNAcentral is "partial 16S ribosomal RNA". It matches the Rfam family "Bacterial small subunit ribosomal RNA", at positions 338 to 795 of the family's 1533-position model. The record is from RNAcentral.
CCUACGGGAGGCUGCAGUCGAGAAUCAUUCACAAUGGGGGAAACCCUGAUGGUGCGACGCCGCGUGGGGGAAUGAAGGUCUUCGGAUUGUAAACCCCUGUCAUGUGGGAGCAAAUUAAAAAGAUAGUACCACAAGAGGAAGAGACGGCUAACUCUGUGCCAGCAGCCGCGGUAAUCCAGAGGUCUCAAGCGUUGUUCGGAAUCACUGGGCGUAAAGCGUGCGUAGGCUGUUUCGUAAGUCGUGUGUGAAAGGCGCGGGCUCAACCCGCGGACGGAACAUGAUACUGCGAGACUAGAGUAAUGGAGGGGGAACCGGAAUUCUCGGUGUAGCAGUGAAAUGCGUAGAUAUCGAGAGGAACACUCGUGGCGAAGGCGGGUUCCUGGACAUUAACUGACGCUGAGGCACGAAGGCCAGGGGAGCGAAAGGGAUUAGAUACCCCUGUAGUC